Long non-coding RNA from Cuculus canorus (common cuckoo), 2060 nucleotides. RefSeq lists it as uncharacterized. NCBI's taxonomy places the organism in Eukaryota, Metazoa, Chordata, Aves, Cuculiformes, Cuculidae. The record is from RefSeq and is a predicted model, not a curated record. The transcript is spliced from 3 exons.
UCCAGGCAGGAUGCGGAGCCCAGUCCCAGCUCCAGUCCCAGUCCCUUUCCCAACCCCAGUUCCAGCCCUGGCUCCAGUCCCAACAUCAGCACAGGGAGCUGCUGUCACAGCAGGGUUCUCUCUAGGAUGCUGGGCUGAAGGAGAAAGCAUCACCCCAGAGGGACGGGCGACUGUUUCUGUUCUGAGGCCUUUCUAAAUAACUGACAAUGAGAACAGGAAACCACACGGCUGUGGAGCGAAGCCUGCUCUUCCAAGUGGAAAAAGAGGGACACGUCUGCCUUGAUUGCCACCCUGUGACUCCACAGCCGAAGUGCUGGCUGACACUCCUUGAAGAGAUUUGCUCCACAAGCAGAAUCCCUUACUGAAUAUUGAAUCAGGAGCUACAGUAAUUGAAGCUCAUCUUUGCCAAAUCAAGAUGCUGUCAGCAAACCAUCCGUGACUGGUGAUUCUGAGCUUGGCUUCAUCAACAACUCCUACUUCUGCAAAGAUCUUUUCCAAAAAAUUAAGUAGCGAUGAAUCAAAGUAAUAAUAAAUGGGAAACAGCCCAACGCGAUAAGCAAGGGGGGACUUAACCCCACAACUGAAACAGUUCUUCUACGGGGAUAUUUAAUUGCUACGCAAUCAGACAGGUUUGGAAUACAGACAGCAAGAGGGACAACAACAAAAUGGAUUCUCACGGAACCCAGAGAACUGGGGCUCACAGAGACAGGAUAUGGCAGUGGUCAUGAACAGGUCCAUCAAAGGGCUGAACAAGAGAGGACAAGCCUACCCGUGGCUAAGAAACAUGAUGUUUCAAAAGCAAUGUCUAAGUCCAGCAGUCCCCAAACAGAGCGGGCGCUCAGGGGGGUGGGUUGGUGAGCGGUCCUGCUGUGCUUGUGCGACGUCUCGUGCUCUGAGCAUCAGCUGGGACAGCACAGGGGCGAGGCCGUGGCCUCACACUGCUGUUUAACACAAAGGGAGCUGGUCACAGAGUGACCAGGGUCCGUCACACAGGGUCCGUCCCAAAGCCGUGCAGAGCAGCUUUAGGAUCGUGCAAAUGCACUGACAAUCCCAGCCAACGCUGCACCGGCUGCCGUGAAGGUUGAGCUCCACGGGCAGCACAUUGGUUUGCAUGAUUCAGGCCUGGCCACUGGUACAAAGAACAGAAUGCUUCUCAGGCGCCACAUUUCUGGGCACUGCUGAGCUUUGACACCCAGAAAGAGCUUUCUUUAAUGGUGAAAUGUCUUUUCUGUGGGGUGCAGAGGCAGUGCAGGGUGGAGGCAUGUUUGAGGCACUGUCAGCGCAGAUCCAAUGCAAUUAACACUGGGGCGUUUGCCUCUUAAUGAGUCUGUAAUGACAGCGUCUUCCCAAAGAAGGAACAUUAGCCGGCUACUGUAGCUUACCUCUACACUGGGAUUGCAUGCUUACACUUCCCUUGCUGGGCAGUGCUUGGAAAAGGACCUGGGCAGCUACGCAGCCCAUCUGUUUUUUCCUUAUGUGCCCAGUCUGUUUUGACAAUCUUCUCCUUAGGUGAAAAGCAGCUCACACCCAAGUCCAAACAGCACCUUGCCAAGCCGCAGCGACGUCCUGGCCACCGCAGAACACACACAGAUCAAAGAGCAACCCCUCGCUGCACCUUGGCUGCGUGCUGAGCUGCGUCCAGGGUGCGCAGAGACUCCAGACAACCGCUGCCUUCUACAAACAGACAUUCCACCUGCAAAUACUAACUCAUGUGAAUUUUCUGACCACCGUUAAUGUAUUGAACGAGUGAGCUAAUUAUCUGCCUGAGCCACGGUAGGAACAAUCCUAAGAGCUUGGCAUCCUGAUUUUUCCAGGUCACAGAUUUUACAGUUUACAAUGAAACAUGGGCUGGAAACUGCCCUAGCCCAUCUACCAUGAGAGGGAAACACCACAAAACCUGAGGCAACAAGUGCCUAAAGAACAAGCCUGGCUUUGUGUCGUUUACUUUGUCUUUGCAAUAAAUCACGCCCUAAGCCAAAAACCAAGAGAAAACUUAGGACACGUAUGAAAUUUUGCAAAAGUUAAACCACUUUGUAGAUCAAGCUUGAACAAACACACAC